This 1014-nucleotide ribosomal RNA is filed under the name Rhizammina sp. W156. RNAcentral describes it as "SSU rRNA". It matches the Rfam family "Eukaryotic small subunit ribosomal RNA", at positions 1214 to 1815 of the family's 1831-position model. Lineage: Eukaryota; Foraminifera; Astrorhizida; Astrorhizidae. The record is from RNAcentral.
CUUACCGGGUCCGGACACACUGAGGAUUGACAGGCAAUCAAUGUGAGAUUUAUAUCUCAUAUUAUAAAUAUGCUAGUCCUUUCAUGAUUAUGUGAUAGGUGGUGCAUGGCCGUUCUUAGUUCGUGGAGUGAUCUGUCUGCUUAAUUGCGUUUCGCAUGGGACUUAUAAAUAAGUGUGCUACUUUUCUUGUUUCGCUUUUAUAUCUUAACUUAUUUAUAAGUUAUUUAUGAUUGCGUUUACAAUUAUGAAAUGUCUGCGCACAUUAGGUCCUGAAAGCAACGAACGUGACCGCAUCCUCUUGUUGCCUUUUACUUAAACGAACAGUCUUAUUUUUAAUAAAUUCGGCUGUGAGUUUUAACAAAAGAGUGCUUUAUAAAACUAGAGGGACCGCUGCGACUUUUUUAAACCAGAGGAAGGUUGCGGCAAUAACAGGUCUGUGAUGCCCUUAGAUGUUCCGGGCUGCACACGUGCUACAAUGAUUAUUGCAGUGAGCAUCUCACUUAUUAUAAAACGCUGUUUUAUUGACCAUUAUGAUUUAUUGUUUUGGUUGAGCAGCCAAGCCUGCUUCGAAAGUUCGCAGGUAAUCAAUUGGAAGUAAUGAUUUCCCUUUUUUUAAAAUUCAGAUUUUAAUUUGUCUUUUUGUGAAGCACACUAUAUGUUGCUCCCUUCCCUGGCCGUUUGCUUUUUUGUCUUUCGGUCUUUAGUGGUUGGGUGUUUUUUCAACAUGUGCUUUUUGUCAAUUCAUGGUGGGGACAGACCAUUGUUAAUUGUUGGUCUCGGUCUUAACUAGGAAUGCCUUGUACGGGUCUUUGGUUCAACAAACCACCCGGAAUACGUCCCUGCCCUUUGUACACACCGCCCGUCGCUCUUACCGAUGGACUUCUCUGUGAGUUUGAGGGACUGGGUACCUUAGCUUUUACGUUAAACUAAAAGCUACAAUCACUUAUGGAAACUUAAACGAACAGUGUGGUCUAAAGGAAAGAGAAGUCGUAACAAGGCAUCGGUAGGUGAACC